UCCAUGUCGGAUGAUCGGUUUAAAGAUUCUUCAUUAUUUUCCAUGCGCUCUCUCGUGACUUUAGAGAAUUGUUUGUUUUUCAUGUGUUUUUAUUGCCAUGAUGAGAAUCGUCUCAAAGUUACCUUAAAGUCGAAGUGUUUGUGUUUAUUUAUAGAGGAGAUAUGUGUAAGGUCUGUGUUAUAAUUUAUAAAUAUCAGAUUUCAGAUAUGUGUUUGUGUGCUUGAUGUAAAUGAAAUCUGAUAUUUAUAAAUUAUAAUACUUCUGAAUUUUUGUGUGUUUAUGAUUGUUUGUGAGAAUAAUCUCGAGCUUUUCUUAUAUAUAAUAACGAGACUUCUUGAUGUUUAUCAGUUUAUGCUUCUUUCUUAGCAUCUGUUUCCAGAAUUGGUUACUUGAUAGUGUCAUUAAUGAUAUGCGAAUUUAUACUCAUGUUCGUCCCUUUAUCGUUACAUUCGUUAAUAAAAAAGCUGGUUUUUGGACCUUUAGUAGAGUACUAUUCAGAUUCUCAAAGAAGUACAAAAUUAAAUCUACUAGCUUGUAGAUCAUAUCUCGUCUAAAUAGUAUCACAGAUGGCAGUUGUAAUUAGUUAUGUCAAAAAAUAGGUUAAUGUAACCAAGUUUCACUUCAUUUUGGUAUAAAAGCAAAGAAAUGACAAGUUAAAAGUAUUAAAAACAAAUUGAACGCGUUGGAUCUUUCUUUAAGGAUAAGUUCUUGUUAACUUUUUAUAGAAAAAUAAAAUAUUAAGUUUCUUCUUUUGCCCAUCUUUCUUUUUUUUUUAGUUUUUAUUUUAUUUUUAAUUAUUCUCUUUUUGAAAAAGGCAAAGGCAAAAGUAUCAAAGGAAUCGUCAAUGAGUGUGCCUUCUGCAAUUCAGUUUCGUGUUUAUUCUCUCAUUUAACAUAAAGUAUUAGUGCACAACCCAAUUUAAUUUAUAACUUCUUAUAUGAAGUUUCUGUAGGUUAGUUUUAUACAAUGUUGCCUCGUUUUAGUAUGUUAGUACAAGUCUUUGGCCUAGUGCAAAUUUAGAAGUUUACGCAAUUUUUGAGGAUCUUGACAAUUAACAACACUUUAUGUUUCUUUUUCUGAAUUUAAACAUCUAAAAAAUAGGAUCAUAUAAAUACUUUUCUUAAUUAUCUCCAAAUAAAUUCAAAAACUGCCCUCGUGAAAUCAACAUCACGCCAUCGUCUUCUUUCUUUAGUGUUUUCACCUUCUUCCACCUCCAACUUACAUAGACAGCUCCUUUCCACCUGUUCUCUCUUUUUUAUUAUAUUCUCCGACAAAAGAGAAAAACCACAAGAAACUCAGACCAGAGUGUUUAGGAACUUUAAAGUUAUGGGCUCUUCUUCUUCUUGUUCUAACUCUUCUUGCUCUGCGUCACGUUCACCGCCGGAGAAGACACUCAACGCAACGACGGUUCCGAGAGCUUUCUCGUUCCCGAUGCCGUCGGUUCACCACCCGCCGGUUAAAAAAGGCGACACGCACCACCUCGUCUCCCUCACGUCCACCACUUACGGUUCUCUUCUACACGUCGAUUAUAGAAAUGGCUAUGCCUUUGGAAGUGGCGGUGCAGCUGACGAAAACGGUGUGGUUUGCUCUAAGCGGCUGGAUUUUCACAUGUUUGUAUAUCGCUGAUGAAAUCACCAGUUCUCUCAGAAACAGAGAUAUAGGCCAUGUCCAUGUCGGAUGAUCGGUUUAAAGAUUCUUCAUUAUUUUCCAUGCGCUCUCUCGUGACUUUAGAGAAUUGUUUGUUUUUCAUGUGUUUUUAUUGCCAUGAUGAGAAUCGUCUCAAAGUUACCUUAAAGUCGAAGUGUUUGUGUUUAUUUAUAGAGGAGAUAUGUGUAAGGUCUGUGUUAUAAUUUAUAAAUAUCAGAUUUCAGAUAUGUGUUUGUGUGCUUGAUGUAAAUGAAAUCUGAUAU
Molecule: long non-coding RNA, 1910 nt
Filed under: Brassica napus (rape)
Lineage: Eukaryota; Viridiplantae; Streptophyta; Magnoliopsida; Brassicales; Brassicaceae
Description: long non-coding RNA (BNAP_LNC016640)
Source: RNAcentral